Molecule: transfer RNA, 100 nt
Filed under: Streptomyces werraensis
Lineage: Bacteria; Bacillati; Actinomycetota; Actinomycetes; Kitasatosporales; Streptomycetaceae
Also listed under: 1 other name
Description: tRNA-Ser
Source: RNAcentral
CGCGGGUGGUGCUGGGGCCUGCGACGGCCGAACAGCUGGAGACCGUUCUGGGCGCGCCGCCGCACACCACGCGGGUGGAUCAGAUGCCGCCCGGGCGCGG